UGGCAUUCAAUACGUAUCUAAGACCUCUGU
RNAcentral lists this non-coding RNA (30 nucleotides) under Mus musculus (house mouse). The record is from RNAcentral. Lineage: Eukaryota; Metazoa; Chordata; Mammalia; Rodentia; Muridae.